RNAcentral lists this ribosomal RNA (253 nucleotides) under uncultured bacterium. RNAcentral describes it as "partial 16S ribosomal RNA". It matches the Rfam family "Bacterial small subunit ribosomal RNA", at positions 524 to 776 of the family's 1533-position model. The record is from RNAcentral.
UACGUAGGGGGCGAGCGUUGUCCGGAUUUAUUGGGCGUAAAGAGCGUGUAGGCGGCCAGGUAGGUCCGUUGUGAAAACUCGAGGCUCAACCUCGAGACGUCGAUGGAAACCAUCUGGCUAGAGUCCGGAAGAGGAGAGUGGAAUUCCUGGUGUAGCGGUGAAAUGCGCAGAUAUCAGGAAGAACACCGAUGGCGAAGGCAGUGGGCUGGGCCGGUACUGACGCUGAGGAGCGAAAGCGUGGGGAGCGAACAGG